ACAAGUACCCGUGAGGGAAAGUUGCAAAGAACUUUGAAGAGAGAGUUCAAGAGGGCGUGAAACCGAUUGGAAGCAAACAGUUAGACCAGACGUUAGCUUUUGGGAUUCAGCUUGUUGGAGCGAGUCUCCCUGUGGCAGUGCUCCGUUUGGACACAGCUGCGGGUAUGAGACCCGUUUCUCGGGUGCAUUUCCCAGGAGUGCGCGCCAAAGGCGGUGAAGUUGCUGUGUUGACCUUGGGUUGAAGACCCGGUUCUUCGGAACUGGGAACCUAGCUCAGGUGUUCAGUACGGUCGACUCUACCGUUCAUGAGAAUGCCCGCUCGGCUCGCUACUCGGGGCAUUGCGGCGGCAGAGUCGGGACCCCAGUCUCUGGACCCGGUUCGCUUGCUGCUGUGUUCAUCGGGGAUGCGAGUGGUAAUUCGGCUUUGGUGUAUUGUCUGUAACCUAACUGACCCGUCUUGAAACACGGACCAAGGAGUCUAACAUGUGCGCGAGUCAUUGGGUUGCUAAACCUAAAGGCGUAAUGAACGUGAAGGUAAGCUUGCUUGCUGAUAUGAGAUCCCUGAUUUUGAGUUGGGGCGCAUCAUAAUCCCUUCUCAUCUGCAUUGCCAGAGAGGAGGAGAUAGAGCGUACAUGCUGGGACCCGAAAGAUGGUGAACUAUGCCUGAGCAGGAUGAAGCCAGAGGAAACUCUGGUGGAGGUCCAUAGCGGUUCUGACGUGCAAAUCGAUCGUCAGACUUGGGUAUAGGGGCGAAAGACUAAUCGAACCAUCUAGUAGCUGGUUCCUUCCGAA
RNAcentral lists this ribosomal RNA (792 nucleotides) under Euchromadora ezoensis. Its description in RNAcentral is "partial large subunit ribosomal RNA". It matches the Rfam family "Eukaryotic large subunit ribosomal RNA", at positions 344 to 965 of the family's 3401-position model. The record is from RNAcentral. Lineage: Eukaryota; Metazoa; Nematoda; Chromadorea; Chromadorida; Chromadoridae.